GACGAACGCUGGCGGCGCGCUUAACACAUGCAAGUCGAACGGAAAGGCCUGCUUUCCCUUGUGGAUUGCGGGUACUCGAGUGGCGAACGGGUGAGUAACACGUGAGUGAUCUGCCCCCAACUUGGGUAUAAGCCUGGGAAACUGGGUCUAAUUCCCGAUAGGACUGCAGGGUGGUGCCUGUGGUGGAAAACGAUCUUCUAGUGGUUGGGGAUGAGCUGGCGGCCUAUCAGCUUGUUGGUGGGGUAAUGGCCUACCAAGGCGGCGACGGGUAGCCGGCCGGAGAGGGUGGACGGCGACAUUGGGACUGAGAUACGGCCCAGACUCCUACGGGAAGCAGCAGUGGGGAAUAUAGCACAAUGGGCGGAAGCCUGAAGCAGCGACGCCGCGUGGGGGAUGACGGCCUUCGGGUUGUAAACUCCUUUCGACCGCGAGGAAGCCACCUGGUUGGAAGGGUGGUGACGGUAGUGGUAGAAGAAGCACCGGCUAACUACGUG
Molecule: ribosomal RNA, 494 nt
Filed under: uncultured bacterium
Lineage: Bacteria
Description: partial 16S ribosomal RNA
Rfam family: Bacterial small subunit ribosomal RNA
Source: RNAcentral